CCCAGCCUUUGAAAGUGGUCAUGGGCUGCCAGUGCCCCAGUCGUUGAUAGCACAGGGAGAGGACCUGCUGAAAGCGCUUCCCCGUGUUUGGAGGGCCUGUUGUGUCCCUUAUAAAUUCUGGAGCUUUCCCACA
Molecule: small nucleolar RNA, 133 nt
Gene: SNORA71
Rfam family: Small nucleolar RNA SNORA71
About the family: The members of this family belong to the H/ACA class of snoRNAs which bind a number of proteins (including dyskerin, Gar1p and Nop10p) to form snoRNP complexes. This class of snoRNAs are thought to guide the sites of modification of uridines to pseudouridines by forming direct base pairing interactions with substrate RNAs. This family includes U71 (SNORA71), ACA39 (SNORA39) and ACA60 (SNORA60).
Source: Ensembl